This 620-nucleotide long non-coding RNA is filed under the name Apteryx owenii (little spotted kiwi). Its description in RNAcentral is "lncRNA (ENSAOWG00000011005.1)". Lineage: Eukaryota; Metazoa; Chordata; Aves; Apterygiformes; Apterygidae. The record is from RNAcentral.
AGAAUGGCCCAUAAAAUGCCCUGGGUUAACCUUGGAGAACCCAGCUCUUGAAAAGUGUCUAAAUUCAGUUGGGAAUUAGGUGUUUCAGCUGGCUUUUUGCCUAAGAGUGCCCCACUCUUAGUCAAAGUAAGUAUAUGGGAACGGUGUUUUUCUGUCUCCAACUUUGCAUUGUCUCCUCUCAGGCAGGUGCUGCCUCUUGGGACACAGAAGGCCACUGCUCUGUGCCCCAGAGCUUUCCCCAGGAGGAGUGCAGCAAUGUGGUGUCUGCUCUGACAUCCACCCCAGGAAAAUGAGAGUGCCAACAACAGACUUCAGGCCUUAGAGGAGAGUGAGSUGGGCAUGAUGUCUUCUUCCACACCAGAGACCUACACUUUGGUGCRGAUGCUGAAAUAUGUCGUGCUACCAAGAAAGGACAGCCCAAAGAAGAAGGACCAGAAUGAAGAAUUCAGGGUUUGGACAGAAGAGGCUUGGAAGAUUUCAUCAGGAAAAGACUUUCCUUGAGACUGUCCUACAUCAAAGAUACCAGACUCUCUGCACUGGCCCUGGGGGUCACGUCUGGAUUUUCAAGGAUUCUGUGCACUCUCCAAAGAGAUUAAGUCAGUUCAUGGGUCCAAGACGUA